GAUGAACGCUGGCGGCGUGCCUAAUACAUGCAAGUCGAGCGAACGGACGAGAAGCUUGCUUCUCUGAUGUUAGCGGCGGACGGGUGAGUAACACGUGGAUAACCUACCUAUAAGACUGGGAUAACUUCGGGAAACCGUAGCCAAUACCGGAUAAUAUUUUGAACCGCAUGGUUCAAAAGUGAAAGACGGUCUUGCUGUCACUUAUAGAUGGAUCCGCGCUGCAUUAGCUAGUUGGUAAGGUAACGGCUUACCAAGGCAACGAUGCAUAGCCGACCUGAGAGGGUGAUCGGCCACACUGGAACUGAGACACGGUCCAGACUCCUACGGGAGGCAGCAGUAGGGAAUCUUCCGCAAUGGGCGAAAGUCUGACGGAGCAACGCCGCGUGAGUGAUGAAGGUCUUCGGAUCGUAAAACUCUGUUAUUAGGGAAGAACAUAUGUGUAAGUAACUGUGCACAUCUUGACGGUACCUAAUCAGAAAGCCACGGCUAACUACGUG
Molecule: ribosomal RNA, 497 nt
Filed under: uncultured bacterium
Lineage: Bacteria
Description: partial 16S ribosomal RNA
Rfam family: Bacterial small subunit ribosomal RNA
Source: RNAcentral